RNAcentral lists this transfer RNA (71 nucleotides) under Mirax sp. QL-2014. RNAcentral describes it as "tRNA-Val". Lineage: Eukaryota; Metazoa; Arthropoda; Insecta; Hymenoptera; Braconidae. The record is from RNAcentral.
UAAAUUUUAUUUUAAAAAAAAUUUAAUAAUUACAAUAUUAAGAUAUAUAUAUUAUACACAUAUAAAUUUAA